This 543-nucleotide ribosomal RNA is filed under the name uncultured archaeon. RNAcentral's name for it is "bacterial SSU rRNA". It matches the Rfam family "Archaeal small subunit ribosomal RNA", at positions 336 to 879 of the family's 1478-position model. The record is from RNAcentral.
CAGGCGCGAAAACUUUACAAUGCCGGCAACGGCGAUAAGGGAACCUCGAGUGCCAGGUUACAAAUCUGGCUGUCGUGAUGCCUAAAAAGCAUUGCAUAGCAAGGGCCGGGCAAGACCGGUGCCAGCCGCCGCGGUAACACCGGCGGCUCGAGUGGUAACCGUUAUUAUUGGGUCUAAAGGGUCUGUAGCCGGCCGGGUAAGUCUCUUGGGAAAUCUGGCAGCUUAACUGUCAGGCUUUCAGGAGAUACUGCCUGGCUCGAGGCCGGGAGAGGUGAGAGGUACUUCAGGGGUAGGGGUGAAAUCUUGUAAUCCUUGAAGGACCACCAGUGGCGAAGGCGUCUCGCCAGAACGGACCUGACGGCAAGGGACGAAAGCUAGGGGCACGAACCGGAUUAGAUACCCGGGUAGUCCUAGCCGUAAACGAUACUCGCUAGGUGUCGGCCACGGUGCGACCGUGGUCGGUGCCGUAGGGAAGCCGUGAAGCGAGCCACCUGGGAAGUACGGCCGCAAGGCUGAAACUUAAAGGAAUUGGCGGGGGAGCAC